Long non-coding RNA from Amphiprion ocellaris (clown anemonefish), 2919 nucleotides. RefSeq lists it as uncharacterized. The record is from RefSeq and is a predicted model, not a curated record. The transcript is spliced from 4 exons. NCBI's taxonomy places the organism in Eukaryota, Metazoa, Chordata, Actinopteri, Pomacentridae.
AACAGUGAGGUUAAGGUUCUGUGUUGUCAGUAAUCCUGAAUAUCUGCUGAGUCUUUGAAGUUAAACUGGAGAAAACAGUAAAUUUACUCUCUAGUUGUUAAUAUUGUUUAAUGAUUGAUUCACAUGUUGUAGUACGUAUUCCUGCAGUGUAGACUGGAAAAAAUAAACUCCCAGAAUAUGUCCAAAGUAAUGAUGAACACUACAGUUACUACAUUUAAAUUACAGCACAGAUAAACUGGAUAAUAAAAUCCUCUCCUCUAAAGCUAAAGUGACUACAGGCCUUUCUGUCUUUCAGUGCUUGGAAAACUAUAUGACAGAGGAAAUCCUUCCAGGGAUACUUUAAAAUGAACCUCUGCUGUUGAUGCUGAUACUGUGACAUCUGUCUUCAUCUCAGGUGUCUCAUGUUCACUGUGAGGAUCUUCUGAGUGAAGCCAGCAGAAGGAAAACCUCAUCUGGAUGUGAAGAAGGAGACUGAAUGGACGGACAUCCUCAGUGAACCACUUCCUGUUUAACUUUCACUUACAGAAGAGUGAAAGUAGCAAUUCCUCCUUAAAGUCAGAGAUUGCAGCAUCUGAGGGCCUCUUCAAAAGAAGACGUAGUUGAUGAAGGUGUUCUGGAGCAGGACCAGAAAGACCACGACCAAGCAGCCUUGAGAUCUUAGGCAGCGUCUCCCUCAGGUCCCUCUCUAUCUCCCCACACAUCCACCAACCACUGGAACACAUCUCCAAAGUUCUGCUGGGCCAGCUCAGCUUCCCCUCAGAAGAAGUGGCGCCACCUGCCAGAUGAAGGAGCCUUUUGAGAGGCAGCUGGCAUCGUGAUUGGACUGUACUUUGGUCUGUUCCAAUCCAGCUUCAGCUCCAGAGACCUCAGGCGGGACGAGUCAACGGAGGCCGGAUGGACGAAGGCAUGCAGCUGAGUACAAUCCAGAAAACAACAGAGGAGGAGUGCAGGGCCAGAACAACCAGAGUAGCAUGACCAAAGAACUACAGACUCUUCACAACCUGCUCAAACUCUUGGUACAGGACCUCACCACACGGGUCAAGAAGGUUUCCGUCUCAUUUCUACUCUGAAGCUCACCUUCUCCUGCUCAAACUGCUGACAAAUGUUUCUGCUGCUCUAAAGUCUGCUCUCCAGAACUUCCUAAAAACUCUCAAAGUCUCUUCUGCUGCAGGUUGCUAUGUAGAACUGUUCCAGAAAACCUCACUAAACCACAUGGAGGGGCCUCAAGAUAGUCGUCCAAAUGAAACCGUACAAAAACCAAACUAGUACAACCCAAACGCUAAAGUCUCCUGCAGCCUACCAGAGAACCUCUGAGAACAGAGAAUCAGGACAGGAACUCUUACCUUCUGGACAACCAACGCUAGUUCUCAAACAAGAAUACAGAAUGUGUCUGAGCAAAAACCUCUAAAGACUCACUACAGCCAAGAUAAAGACACAACUCAGCUGUACCAAAUCCACUAAUCACUGCACACAUUAGCACCAUGUGCUAACUGUGGCUAAAGAACCACAUUUACCAAGACAACUAUCCGGUACAAAGCCCUAAAACACACCAAGAAACACAUUAAAGACGAUUUUACUGCUGGAAGCUGCAAGCCAAAGAACAAACUAAAGCAAUGGAGCCAAACCCGGUUCAGUGGUCAAGAGAAGCAGAGGAAAUGUUUGUCUGCAGCUAAAUAAACGAGGAAGACACUGAGCUGCUCAGGUGUUCCUGAUAACACCAAGCAGCCACCUGGACAGCCAAUAGGAACACAGCUUCCUGGAAGUCCAGAGGGCUGGGUCAGUGAAGUAAAUUUAGUUUAAAGUUGAAGCAGAAAGUUAACAAAGUUGAAAACCACCUUCUGAUACCUGAUGAGUUUUCACACAAAGAACACCUGAACAUGUCAAACUGGCUCCAUAGUAGAACCCUCAUUGUAAAACGUCAUAGUAUGGUGUGUUGCUUAAAAAACAUUACGACCUGGCUGUCUAGGGUUGCCGAGGAACAACACAAAAACAGGACAAACGCUGGUUUCCAGGGGGUUAGGAGGCUAUUUAUUUGAAAGAGUAAGUUUACAACAAUACAACAUGUGAGCAGAAAAAUCACAAAGUCUGUCUUUAGUUCAGCUGAAAAUAACAGUUUUUGUCUUUUUUAUUGACCAAACUUUUCAGGAAGUAGAAAGAAAAACACCUUAGUUUAGUAUGUCGUCCAAAAUGUGGAAAAAAAGGUCAUAGUUUAGUAUGUCGUCCAAAAUGUGGAAAAACACCUCAUAGUUUAGUAUGCUGUCUAAAAUGUGACAAAAACAUCAUAGUUUAGUAUGUCAUCCAAAAUACCGGCGUUACUGAGUCCAAAGCUGCUGUUUCAACACAGAACGUUCACAUGCAUCCACAAACCUCUCAGCACUCAAACACCCACAGACAGGAGGCCGGCUGGGCCGAGGCUCGGCGGCGUCCUCAGACCCACGAGUCCGGGAGUCGGUGAACUUGUUGGUCCGGUUUGAAGGCCUCCGUGUGGUCCAGUAGAAGUCCAUGUAGUCGGUGUUGGCUUUGAACCGCAGCGACCGGCCACCAUCAGGUGGACCGGCUCGUCCUUGUAGGGCUCCUCCUGUAGCCUUGAGGGGACCACAGGAACAUUCAGUAGCUGUUGGAGUUCUUCCUGUCAGGCUCGUGGAAGAACGGCUCUGAAGAAUCUUGUACUUGUCUUAUCUGGAACACUCUAACAGCCUAAACUGUUAACAGCAGUGUAAAGAAGCAAACACACAGGCAUAGAUUAGGACUCAAACUAGAUUUAUUUUAGAAAACAAAUCAACUUAGAGGCAUUUGUUCACACGUGGCUGAAUAGGAGGCCGUCCAAUCAGAUUUGAGGUCUUCACUCUGUAGGUUGUUUGUUGCUUUCAGAUGGAAGGAUUUACUUCUAAGUUCUAAUUCAACUUUCAGUUGGAGCAC